This 446-nucleotide ribosomal RNA is filed under the name Sporosarcina sp. CL5.69. RNAcentral's name for it is "bacterial SSU rRNA". It matches the Rfam family "Bacterial small subunit ribosomal RNA", at positions 17 to 449 of the family's 1533-position model. The record is from RNAcentral. Lineage: Bacteria; Bacillati; Bacillota; Bacilli; Caryophanales; Caryophanaceae.
CCCUGGCUCAGGACGAACGCUGGCGGCGUGCCUAAUACAUGCAAGUCGAGCGGAAUGAUGAAGAAGCUUGCUUCUUCUGAUUUUAGCGGCGGACGGGUGAGUAACACGUGGGCAACCUACCUUGUAGAUUGGGAUAACUCCGGGAAACCGGGGCUAAUACCAAAUAAUCCAUUUUGCUUCAUGGCGAAAUGUUGAAAGGCGGCUUCGGCUGUCACUACGAGAUGGGCCCGCGGCGCAUUAGCUAGUUGGUAGGGUAACGGCCUACCAAGGCGACGAUGCGUAGCCGACCUGAGAGGGUGAUCGGCCACACUGGGACUGAGACACGGCCCAGACUCCUACGGGAGGCAGCAGUAGGGAAUCUUCCACAAUGGACGAAAGUCUGAUGGAGCAACGCCGCGUGAGUGAAGAAGGUUUUCGGAUCGUAAAACUCUGUUGUAAGGGAAGAA